UGCCCUGUACACACGGAUAACAUACCGAAAGGUAUGCUAAUACGAGAUAAUAUACUUUUAUCGCAUGGUAGAAGUAUCAAAGCUUUUGCGGUACAGGAUGGACCCGCGUCUGAUUAGCUAGUUGGUAAGGUAACGGCUUACCAAGGCGACGAUCAGUAGCCGACCUGAGAGGGUGAUCGGCCACAUUGGAACUGAGACACGGUCCAAACUCCUACGGGAGGCAGCAGUGGGGAAUAUUGCACAAUGGGCGAAAGCCUGAUGCAGCAACGCCGCGUGAGCGAUGAAGGCCUUCGGGUCGUAAAGCUCUGUCCUCAAGGAAGAUAAUGACGGUACUUGAGGAGGAAGCCCCGGCUAACUACGUGCCAGCAGCCGCGGUAAUACGUAGGGGGCUAGCGUUAUCCGGAAUUACUGGGCGUAAAGGGUGCGUAGGUGGUUUCUUAAGUCAGAGGUGAAAGGCUACGGCUCAACCGUAGUAAGCCUUUGAAACUGGGAAACUUGAGUGCAGGAGAGGAGAGUGGAAUUCCUAGUGUAGCGGUGAAAUGCGUAGAUAUUAGGAGGAACACCAGUUGCGAAGGCGGCUCUCUGGACUGUAACUGACACUGAGGCACGAAAGCGUGGGGAGCAAACAGGAUUAGAUACCCUGGUAGUCCACGCCGUAAACGAUGAGUACUAGCUGUCGGAGGUUACCCCCUUCGGUGGCGCAG
RNAcentral lists this ribosomal RNA (704 nucleotides) under uncultured bacterium. Its description in RNAcentral is "bacterial SSU rRNA". It matches the Rfam family "Bacterial small subunit ribosomal RNA", at positions 127 to 851 of the family's 1533-position model. The record is from RNAcentral.